Rhopalosiphum padi (bird cherry-oat aphid) is the source of this 1785-nucleotide long non-coding RNA. RefSeq lists it as uncharacterized. The transcript has 2 exons. The record is from RefSeq and is a predicted model, not a curated record. Lineage: Eukaryota; Metazoa; Arthropoda; Insecta; Hemiptera; Aphididae.
AGCAGCCUAUGAAAUACACAAAUAAUUAAACACUAUAUAAUUUACUGCCGCAGUUGAGAACAUCGUUUCGAUUUCAAUACUCCCAAACCUCUAGGGGGAAUAAUUGACCAUAUACCGAUUCGUAUUUCAAUAUACCUACUCAAUAAUAGUCAAUUUACUCAUUUAAUAUUUUAGAUGUUUACACAGUACACAUUCGUUUACAGAACAAGCUAUUCCUCUAAAUCACCAUUUAUUUAUAACAACAUAAUAUUUUAUGAAUAUUGCCCUUAAGUCUACGAUGCUGGUUUAAGGCUACUUAACGUUCUGUAAUAUAUAUAUGACUAAAAAGUAAGAGUAAUCGACUGGUGAAACGUAGCCGUGCAGGUAGGUACAUAAAAGAGUGCAGUUAUUGUAGCAGUCUCCUGAGGAAAUACCAUGUCCCUAUAUAGAAUCAUUAUUAGCUAUGUAGUUAGGCACCUAAAUUAUUAUAUACCUACAUAAUAAUAAUAAACGAUAACAGCGACGCGGAAGUAAUGCGAAUGCUGUUCCCGAAAUCGUAGGUUCCUAAACGAAAAAAAAAUUCCAUAUCUGAGCCUCGCAAGUCACAACAUAUAUUUUGUUGUUAACGAAUUACGUUUCAAUGAAAUUACUGGUACACUUGUUAUGUCCAAAUGAUAAAAUAAGGGUGUACAAGUUAAUAAGUUAUAUUUAAAUGAAAAAAGAAGAUUACACUAGUCAUAUCCUGAAGAAGUCGAUUUUUUAAAAAUAGAUUCAUUCAAAUGUUUGCCUAUAUAAGUACGUAAUUAUUUUUUUAGAUUAAAUUAGCGAAAUGAUGAAUAUAUUAAUUUUUACAAUGACGCGUGUAUUGUAUUUUUACUGUCAUCAUCUUUUAUGACCGUAAAAAUGCUUUGAAUUUUAACAUUGGGGGUGGUUUCCAGUUAGUCUAGGUUAGCAAAUUUAUCCUAGUUCUUUAAAGGUUGAAAGUUAAUUUAAAAGUAACAACAAAAAAUUAAGGAAACCGAGAAUUUUUACUUAAAACCAGUAUUUGGAAAGAUUGAUUUUGUUUUUUAGAUGUAACUUCAAAAUGAAAAACCGUAGAUAUUUGAAACAGCCAUUAAAUGUUUAUGUUAUUAUUUUUUCUAAAUAUUUUAAUUCAUAGACAUUAUAAACAUUUGCAAUUUUUUCUAAAAAUGUUAAUAAAAAAUAUUUUCAGGAUCAAAAAGCUUGAAAUUAAUUAUAAGAUUCAGGACUAACUUAUUUAAAUUAAUUAAAAAUACUGAUGCAUAGGCAUGUUUUUUAUUUUUAUAAGCAUAUGCAUAUGAAAUUCUCUCCUCGAUGAGGACUGACAACGAAGUUCAGAAUGUAGAGAGUAGUUAGAUACAUUGAUACAUGCAAUUCAUCUGCCGGAGGAGCUUGGAAGAUUUCUAUAAGACCCGUUCAUAUUUGUGAUGGAAUUCAAAGAAUAUCUUUAGGUAGGUAGUACAUUAGUGCAAUAAGUUAGGUGACUACCUAUUUAUUUAUAGAGCCUUUCAAUUCAAACAUUUUCAUAAAUGUAUCUUAUAAUAAUAAUGUUUAAAUCACAAAAUAAUAAGCACUUGUUGGUCUUAUAGAUAAUUACUCCAGCUAGGUACUAGUCCGUCUUCCUAAUAAAUUAGUAUAUAUCUAGAUACUUCGAGUGAGAGAGGAAAAUAUCUUUGGAAUAAUAGGAAUAUAUUGUUAUAUACUCACGACGCAAAAGACGAACACUCUGGUGGUCUUGUCCAUCUUGUACGAGUUGGCGCGAUUGAGUCUGUUGGCGAAAGAAAA